GGGCGUCUAGCUCAGUUGGUAGAGCGCGUCAUUAGCAUCCGGACAGUUCAGGAAUUGAAGCCUGUCCAGCUAGCAUUGACGAGGUCUUUGGUUCGAUUCCUAAGUCGUCCA
Trichosporon asahii var. asahii CBS 8904 is the source of this 111-nucleotide transfer RNA. It matches the Rfam family "tRNA". From Rfam's summary of the family: Transfer RNA (tRNA) molecules are approximately 80 nucleotides in length. Lineage: Eukaryota; Fungi; Basidiomycota; Tremellomycetes; Trichosporonales; Trichosporonaceae. The record is from Rfam.